RNAcentral lists this ribosomal RNA (519 nucleotides) under Triticum aestivum (bread wheat). RNAcentral describes it as "partial small subunit ribosomal RNA". The record is from RNAcentral. Lineage: Eukaryota; Viridiplantae; Streptophyta; Magnoliopsida; Poales; Poaceae.
AUGCAACAAAUGAACAAGUUCGCUCGUUUAUGCUUCAAUCUCAGCCAGCAAAACCAGACGAACAAGAUGCUCCAAAUCAACAGUCCAGUUCAUCAGGACGGCAACAGAAUGCCUUCCAGUAGAACAGCAGCUGCAACAGAAUCACAUCAACAGUUGGGGAACACAAUCCCGCACAAGGAAACCUACAAUUCUGACGUUGUUUCAUUCCUUCGGCCAAAUGCAUGCUCAAGAAAUCGAACAAGGAAACAAAAUCAAUCAGUGCAGGAAAAUACGCGCUACUUUUGGCCGUCGCCCGUCUACCGGAGCAUCUUUUUCGGGGGGAGGGGGCGGUUGCCCGAUCCAUACCUGUUGGCCACCGCCGAACCCGUCGUCGUCGUCGCCACCACAGAGGAUAUGCGCCACCGCCCCUGCUGCCCAACGCCCUGCGCCGCCCGCCGCCGCCGCCCUCCCGAAUCCAGCCGCGUAUCCCUAGCCCUCUCAGAGACAAGAGUCAAUAGAGCUGGUCAGUUGCAAGAAUAA